UUUUUUUUUUUCUUUUUUGAGACAGACUCUUGCUCUGUCACCCAGGCUGGAGUGCAGUGGCACUUAACUGCAGUCUCUGUCUCCUGGAUUCAAGUGAUUCUCGUGCCUCAGCCUCCCAAGUAGCUGGGAUUACAGGUGUGCACCACCACGCCCGGCUAAUUUUUGUAUUUUUAGUAGAGACAGAGUUUCACCAUGUUGGCCAGUCUGGUCUUGUACUCCUAGCCUGAAGUGACCUCCCCACCUCGGCCUCCCAAAAUGCUGGGAUUACAGGAGUGAGCCACCACACCCAGCCAUAUUUCCUCACUGUUCUGAAGGCUAGAAAUCUGAAAUCAAGGUGCCAACCAGUCCAGGCACUCUGUUAAGACACUUGGAAUGGAUCCUUCCUUGCCCCUUUCAAUGUCUGCUGGAACCAACCAUCCAUGGACUUCCUUGGCUUGCAGACACAUCACUCCAAUCUCUGCCUCUGUUGUCCCACUGCCUCCUUCUCUGUGUGUCUCUGUGUUUGUGUCUCCAAAUAUCUCUUUCCUCAUAAGGACACCAGCCCUUGGCUUUAGGGCCCACCCUAAUCAAAUAUGACCUUACCUUGAUCACAUCUGCAAAGAUGUUUCCAAAUAAAGUCACAUUCUGAGGUUCUAGAUGAACGUGAAUUUUGAGGGGGUCACUAUUCAACCCAGUACACCAUCCAAGAAGUUUACCAGCUUUCCUGAUACCAGUUAGUGCUCCAGCCAAGGAUAACUACUUUUAGGAACAUCCCAUGGUCUCUGGGGUAAAAUUACAGCGUCUGUCUUUACUACAGGCCAGAGCAGCCUCUAGACCUCAAAUCAACAAACAGCAGCUCCUGGAAAUCUCUGAAAGUCACAGACCAAGGAUAAGCAUUGACUUGAUAUCACUUUUCUACUUUUCCUUCCAAAAAAUUUCUGGACUCUCUUCCAGCACCAAGACCGUCAAUCCAGUGGCACGUGUUAGUGCUUCUCCAUGACCCUUAUGGCUAAGCACACCUUCCUAGUGAUGAUAACUUGAUCCCAACAACACAAACCAUCACCUUCCAUGCAAAUGAAGGGCACAGAGGACUUUGAAAUACAGACCUCCUCCCCUCCUUGGCUCCAGAGCCUCAUGACUAUAGGACCAGGCCUGGAAGCCCAGAGGACCAGGCUGGAUGUGGCUGCACCAUCCUUCCUCAUCAUGCAGUGAUUCGUUGCUUGCUCUGCACUCAGCUUGGGCCAUCCCCAUCGAGAGGAGAUGGGGAAGAGAGGAGAGAUGGAGAGAGGGGAGGUGAGUCUGGCUGCAAUCCGAUUUCUGUUGCAGAAGACAUUCUGACCCUGGGGACUUGGGAAACAGACCCCUUCGUGCAGCACGUUAUUCUGCCUUUGCUUCCUCUGCUCUUUCCCACCUCUCCAUCUGCUGCUGAAAUGCUGAGGUCCCUGACUUGGAGGCUGAGCCCUGCCCUGGCUUCUUUCUGGCUGGGGAGAAAUUCUAUCAGAUGCCUCAGCCACACCU
This 1497-nucleotide long non-coding RNA is filed under the name Macaca fascicularis (crab-eating macaque). Its description in RNAcentral is "lncRNA (ENSMFAG00000054065.1)". The record is from RNAcentral. Lineage: Eukaryota; Metazoa; Chordata; Mammalia; Primates; Cercopithecidae.